This 907-nucleotide long non-coding RNA is filed under the name Ornithorhynchus anatinus (platypus). RNAcentral's name for it is "lncRNA (ENSOANG00000048867.1)". The record is from RNAcentral. Lineage: Eukaryota; Metazoa; Chordata; Mammalia; Monotremata; Ornithorhynchidae.
CCAAAAAGGUGUGGCCGGGGGGAGGUGCGAUAGGAGUUUUAUGCUCACAGAGACUGGAUGAAGAGCUUCACCCCAGCACCCAUAUCCGCACCGAGGAAUGAAUCCAGCCCUUACAGGUUAGUGUUCUUCUCCCGCCCUGCCAUCCCCACCGCACUUAAAACCUUGAUAGUUCUUGGCAUCCGGGAGGAUAACUUGCCUUUCGUGGUGGUGAGCGUUUAUAUCACUCACCUGCAAAGAGAUUUCUUUUUUUUCUGAAGGGCCUGCUUAAGCGCUUCCUCAGAGCACUCAACCACUAACAUCUCUAGGAAGUCAGACCGUGCGGUGACCGGCUGCCGUAGAGAAAGAACGCCGCCUCCCUCCUCUCCCACACACUUGGUUCAAGCGUGAAGGGAGGAAAGGAAGAAAUCGGGGUUGUCUGCUAGGCGGAAAAUCCGUUUAGCUAAAUUAGGAAGCUGACUAGCCGUCUUUCCCCGGGGUUGGCAUGGAAACGAGAUGGCAGCUCCGCAAAAACGGAAAACCGUAUUUCAAAGAGCUGGAUCGGGUAGACGCAGCAAGGCCGAGUCAUCACCAGCCCAGUAAUCAGUCCUGGGGAGAAGAGUCCUCUUGACCGGGAAGUGUGGAGAGGUUCCUGCGGGGCUCGGAAAUGAGCUGCUCCGUCUCUUCCCAUCAUCCGGACUCCUCGGACAUCCCCCUCCAGAAGACUCUGAGAUAUCACAAACCGUGGGAGACGCCCGAGAUGAGGGAGAUAUCAGAGCUCCAGACGAGGAAGAAAUCAGAGGCGACGGAGAUCCACACUGCACAGCGAAGAUCCUAUCCUCACGGCUGUGGUGACUCCGAUAAGUCUGUGACCAGGUUAACGACUGGCAGGUCGCAACCUAGUCUAUUCUUCGGCCACCUUCCCUCUUAG